Gastrolobium bilobum is the source of this 326-nucleotide long non-coding RNA. RefSeq lists it as uncharacterized. Lineage: Eukaryota; Viridiplantae; Streptophyta; Magnoliopsida; Fabales; Fabaceae. The record is from RefSeq and is a predicted model, not a curated record. The transcript has 3 exons.
CUCUAACUUUCUUCUUCCCUCUUGCCAUAUUCAGUUCUCGUUUUCUAACCAAAAAAAAAAAGGAUUUUGGAGACAGAAAAUCGGUUGAACCAUGGAGCCCAUGGACAUUGUCGGCAAAUCAAAGGAAGAUGCUUCGCUUCCUAAAGAGAUGGAGAAAUGGUGCAAAGAGAAAAUAUUGGGUGGAGAAAGACCUCGGUUCGAUUCUUACCAAUAUCAUCUCGGGAAAGGAUAUAAAAUCUUAAUCCUAGACCCAUCCAGCAUUCAGGAUUAAUUUCAUAACCAGCUCAAAUAACCAAAACUAAUAAGGGAUAUUCUAUGAAGCCUUC